GCGUUCUUGGCAUCUCGCUGCCCUUCCACAGCCAUCCAUCAACCCUCCACAACCGCCCAAAGCAAUUCCCACAAUUGCUUAAGAGAUCAUUGCCACAUUCCGCCGUCAUCUCCACCACCACGGAUCAUCCUUUGAUCUCCCCGUGAAUUGCAACAGGUUCUGGUUUCCUACCUUACUGCUGCUGCAAUUUAGUUAUCCUUAUUCGA
RNAcentral lists this long non-coding RNA (206 nucleotides) under Musa acuminata (dwarf banana). RNAcentral describes it as "long non-coding RNA (MACU_LNC010094)". Lineage: Eukaryota; Viridiplantae; Streptophyta; Magnoliopsida; Zingiberales; Musaceae. The record is from RNAcentral.